RNAcentral lists this ribosomal RNA (253 nucleotides) under uncultured bacterium. RNAcentral's name for it is "partial 16S ribosomal RNA". It matches the Rfam family "Bacterial small subunit ribosomal RNA", at positions 524 to 776 of the family's 1533-position model. The record is from RNAcentral.
UACAGAGGUCUCGAGCGUUGUUCGGAUUCAUUGGGCGUAAAGGGUGCGUAGGUGGCAAGGUAAGUCGGAUGUGAAAUCCCCCGGCUCAACCGGGGAACGGCUGGGUAUACUGGCGGCCUUGAGAGGCCUAGGGGCAAGCGGAACAAGCGGUGGAGCGGUGAAAUGCGUAGAUAUCGCUUGGAACGCCGACGGUGAAAACAGCUCGCUGGGGGCCAUCUGACGCUGAGACACGAAAGCCAGGGGAGCGAACGGG